CACGUAGGGUGCGAGCGUUGUCCGGAAUUAUUGGGCGUAAAGAGCUCGUAGGCGGUGUGUCGCGUCGGCCGUGAAAACCUGAGGCUCAACCUCAGGCCUGCAGUCGAUACGGGCGGACUUGAGUACUGCAGGGGAGACUGGAAUUCCUGGUGUAGCGGUGAAAUGCGCAGAUAUCAGGAGGAACACCGGUGGCGAAGGCGGUUCUCUGGGCAUGUCCUGACGCUGAGGAGCGAAAGUGUGGGGAGCGAACAGG
RNAcentral lists this ribosomal RNA (253 nucleotides) under uncultured bacterium. RNAcentral describes it as "partial 16S ribosomal RNA". It matches the Rfam family "Bacterial small subunit ribosomal RNA", at positions 524 to 776 of the family's 1533-position model. The record is from RNAcentral.